GGGGGCGAAAGGUCUCGACGGGGUUGGAGGGGGCGGGGACAGCGUGCCGAGGUCCCCGGCGGCCUCGUAAAAAAGCCGGGAAACUACAACUGCCGACUACGGCUACGCUCUGGCUGCUUAAUUGAAGCAGCCCGUCCGCCCCGCCGCUCCCGCUCGGCGGGACGCGGGCGUCGGAAAGGCGGGAUAGCCCUGGGCUCCUUCGCCUGCGGGGGACAGGGCGAAGACCGAGCGGGCUGGCGUACGGAGACCCUGCCCGUCGGGGCUCCGGACGCGAGAUGAAACGACGGGCUAAGCACGUAGAAGUCCUCGUCGCCACGAUCCCGGACGCGGGUUCGAUUCCCGCCGCCUCCACCA
RNAcentral lists this transfer-messenger RNA (354 nucleotides) under Candidatus Latescibacterota. RNAcentral describes it as "B68-G9 sp012962735 Standard tmRNA". It matches the Rfam family "transfer-messenger RNA". From Rfam's summary of the family: Bacterial tmRNA, also known as 10Sa RNA or SsrA, is named for its dual tRNA and mRNA-like properties. Its role is to liberate the mRNA from a stalled ribosome. Lineage: Bacteria; Pseudomonadati. The record is from RNAcentral. RNAcentral also lists the same sequence under 1 other name.